RNAcentral lists this ribosomal RNA (1028 nucleotides) under uncultured Cryobacterium sp. RNAcentral describes it as "bacterial SSU rRNA". It matches the Rfam family "Bacterial small subunit ribosomal RNA", at positions 337 to 1363 of the family's 1533-position model. The record is from RNAcentral. Lineage: Bacteria; Bacillati; Actinomycetota; Actinomycetes; Micrococcales; Microbacteriaceae.
UCCUACGGGAGGCAGCAGUGGGGAAUAUUGCACAAUGGGCGCAAGCCUGAUGCAGCAACGCCGCGUGAGGGACGAAGGCCUUCGGGUUGUAAACCUCUUUUAGUAGGGAAGAAGCGACUGGGUUUUCCUGGGAGUGACGGUACCUGCAGAAAAAGCACCGGCUAACUACGUGCCAGCAGCCGCGGUAAUACGUAGGGUGCAAGCGUUGUCCGGAAUUAUUGGGCGUAAAGAGCUCGUAGGCGGUUUGUCGCGUCUGCUGUGAAAACCCGAGGCUCAACCUCGGGCCUGCAGUGGGUACGGGCAGACUAGAGUGCGGUAGGGGAGAUUGGAAUUCCUGGUGUAGCGGUGGAAUGCGCAGAUAUCAGGGGGAACACCAAUGGCGAAGGCAGAUCUCUGGGCCGUAACUGACGCUGAGGAGCGAAAGCAUGGGGAGCGAACAGGAUUAGAUACCCUGGUAGUCCAUGCCGUAAACGUUGGGAACUAGAUGUGGGGACCAUUCCACGGUCUCCGUGUCGCAGCUAACGCAUUAAGUUCCCCGCCUGGGGAGUACGGCCGCAAGGCUAAAACUCAAAGGAAUUGACGGGGGCCCGCACAAGCGGCGGAGCAUGCGGAUUAAUUCGAUGCAACGCGAAGAACCUUACCAAGGCUUGACAUAUACCGGAAACGGCUGGAAACAGUCGCCCCGCAAGGUCGGUAUACAGGUGGUGCAUGGUUGUCGUCAGCUCGUGUCGUGAGAUGUUGGGUUAAGUCCCGCAACGAGCGCAACCCUCGUCCUAUGUUGCCAGCACGUAAUGGUGGGAACUCACGGGAUACUGCCGGGGUCAACUCGGAGGAAGGUGGGGAUGACGUCAAAUCAUCAUGCCCCUUAUGUCUUGGGCUUCACGCAUGCUACAAUGGCCGGUACAAAGGGCUGCGAUACCGCAAGGUGGAGCGAAUCCCAAAAAGCCGGUCUCAGUUCGGAUUGAGGUCUGCAACUCGACCUCAUGAAGUCGGAGUCGCUAGUAAUCGCAGAUCAGCAACGCUGCGGU